GACGAACGCUGGCGGCGUGCUUAACACAUGCAAGUCGAACGGAAAGGCCCUGCUUUUGUGGGGUGCUCGAGUGGCGAACGGGUGAGUAACACGUGAGUAACCUGCCCUUGACUUUGGGAUAACUUCAGGAAACUGGGGCUAAUACCGGAUAGGAGCUCCUGCUGCAUGGUGGGGGUUGGAAAGUUUCGGCGGUUGGGGAUGGACUCGCGGCUUAUCAGCUUGUUGGUGGGGUAGUGGCUUACCAAGGCUUUGACGGGUAGCCGGCUUGAGAGGGUGACCGGCCACAUUGGGACUGAGAUACGGCCCAGACUCCUACGGGAGGCAGCAGUGGGGAAUAUUGCACAAUGGGCGGAAGCCUGAUGCAGCAACGCCGCGUGCGGGAUGACGGCCUUCGGGUUGUAAACCGCUUUCGCCUGUGACGAAGCGUGAGUGAGGGUAAUGGGUAAAGAAGCACCGGCUAACUACGUG
RNAcentral lists this ribosomal RNA (468 nucleotides) under uncultured bacterium. RNAcentral describes it as "partial 16S ribosomal RNA". It matches the Rfam family "Bacterial small subunit ribosomal RNA", at positions 28 to 507 of the family's 1533-position model. The record is from RNAcentral.